GGGGCUGUACCGGUUUCGACGGGGGUGUGGCGGCAAAAAUAGCGGGCGGAGGCGUCGCCCUCCUUAAAACGGCAUUCUUUAUAAAUUAAAGAACAAUAACGAAGCUUUACCGGUAGCCGCUUAAGGCUGCCCGUCCCCGCCGGAAGGUCCACGAGCCGGAUGGGGGCGUGAUUGAGUGGAGAACGUGUGUGCAUUAAGCUUUGCGUGUACCAUGAACAAUGAAGCUACCAAGCUAUGCUGCGUGACGGCUUGCGCCAUAGUAAGGGAAAGGGGCCUCGGCCCGAAAUAACCGUCUGCGCCCGGAGAAGUUUUUGUCAAAGUGCUUUCGGACGGGGGUUCAACUCCCCCCAGCUCCACCA
RNAcentral lists this transfer-messenger RNA (359 nucleotides) under Oscillospiraceae. RNAcentral's name for it is "Sporobacter sp022870705 Standard tmRNA". It matches the Rfam family "transfer-messenger RNA". From Rfam's summary of the family: Bacterial tmRNA, also known as 10Sa RNA or SsrA, is named for its dual tRNA and mRNA-like properties. Its role is to liberate the mRNA from a stalled ribosome. The record is from RNAcentral. Lineage: Bacteria; Bacillati; Bacillota; Clostridia; Eubacteriales. RNAcentral also lists the same sequence under 1 other name.